This 257-nucleotide unclassified non-coding RNA is filed under the name Ilyonectria robusta. RNAcentral describes it as "sequence contains 5.8S rRNA gene". The stretch from base 1 to 53 matches the Rfam family "5.8S ribosomal RNA", at positions 102 to 154 of the family's 154-position model. The record is from RNAcentral. Lineage: Eukaryota; Fungi; Ascomycota; Sordariomycetes; Hypocreales; Nectriaceae.
GAACGCACAUUGCGCCCGCCAGUAUUCUGGCGGGCAUGCCUGUCCGAGCGUCAUUUCAACCCUCAAGCCCCCGGGCUUGGUGUUGGAGAUCGGCGAGCCCCCCGGGGCGCGCCGUCUCCCAAAUAUAGUGGCGGUCCCGCUGUAGCUUCCUCUGCGUAGUAGCACACCUCGCACUGGGAAACAGCGUGGCCACGCCGUAAAACCCCCCACUUCUGAAAGGUUGACCUCGGAUCAGGUAGGAAUACCCGCUGAACUUA